GGGCUCUAUGACCUGUUGCCAGCCCCAAGUUGGCGAGGUUGGCCAGGGCUCUAAGCAUGGGGAAUGGCUGCUUGUGACCUAGGGUGGUGGACUGAGGGGACCCGUCUCUGGAGCAGGGAGCUGAGCAGCAGCAAGGAACGGGGGCUGAGUGGCUGCUCCCCAACCUGGGAUCCGUUGUCCCCCCAGAGCCAGCCUGGCUGGAGUCAUUCCAAUGAGCAGGAGGCCCCUUGUAGGGAGAUGCUGGGAGACCUGGGACCAGGGCGGCUGGGAGCAGUGAGGCCUGGACUCUCACCAGCCCCUUGACUAGCCUCUCUCCUAGGUUGACCAGAUAGCAAUUGUGAGAAAUCGGGACAGGGAUUGGGGGGUAAUAGGCACCUAUAUAAGACAAAGACCCAUAUAUUGGGACAUCUGAUCACCCUACUCUCUCCUCAUCUCUCCAGUGGCCCCAGCUCGAUGGGACGCCCCAGCUCCAUGGGACACCCUGCCCACUGAGAGCAGAGGCUCUUGGGCUGGUGCAGAGGGAGGGGCCAGCUGCUGCGUGGUGGGGGGCAGCAGGGUCCCGAAUGGGGGGAUGCAGCACAGAGAGACCAGAGACUUAAGGAUGCUUAGAAGCUUUAUUAGUGCCAAUCACAGCAAUAGCCAGAUGCAGGCAAAGUGCCAGCACAGUAGGACCCACCCUUGACCCACUGCAGAACCGCCCCCCAUCCCCUGAAACUCCAACUAAGAAGUCAGGACUCCUGGGUUCCAUCCCUGUCUCUGUGAGAGAGCAAGGUCUGGUGGUUAGAGCAGGGGGCAGGGAGCCAGGACGCCUGGGUUCUGUCCCCAGCUCAGGGAGGGGAGCAGGUUAAGUAGUUAUAGUAGGGGUGGAGGGAGGGGGACUGGGCCUCAGCACUCCUGGGUUCUAGUCAAAACUCCAAGAAUGUAGUUAGAGAAUGGGCCAAAACUCCUGUUUAUUUUGUUUCCCCUGACUCAGCCACUGACUUCUGUGUGACUUUGGGUGGGUCCUUGCCCUCCUCUGUUCUGUUUCUGCUGUUGUAGACUGGGGCUACUGCCCCAACCUAGCUUUGGGGAUUUAGGUUGGGGAGCUCUAUAGAAGGGCCAGCAUUACCAUAAGGGACGCUGCUGCCCAGGUUGGGAAUCCAGUUCCAUCAGGCCAUGGCAAAAGUAGCUGAGCCUGGCUCUCCUGCAUCCUUACAACCCUGGCUCCUGCUGGCUGGGCAGAGACUGACUCCAGCCCCGAGAUGGGUGGGUGUGGACCCAGGAUACUGGGGAAGGAAGAGGGGAUGUUGUACCCUCCUCUUGC
RNAcentral lists this long non-coding RNA (1303 nucleotides) under Chrysemys picta bellii (western painted turtle). RNAcentral describes it as "lncRNA (ENSCPBG00000011660.1)". Lineage: Eukaryota; Metazoa; Chordata; Testudines; Emydidae. The record is from RNAcentral.